AAUAAAACAUAUGCAGGGAUAUAAAAAGACCAGGUCUAAAUAAUUGAGAUUAAAGAGUCAACUUGAUAUACAGUAAUAGCACAGCAAUAUGAAUGUGAAGAUCUUCUCUCUAAAUUAAUUAAAGGUGAAAAAGUUGAGAUAGUCUCUAUUAGAUGGCGGUGAAUGGCGUGAUACAGACAGUGUUGCAGCUAUUAGAUGAAGAUGCAAAGCUGAUCGGUCGUAGAGAAAGAGGUUCAUGAGUUGCUCCGAAGCCUAGAGUACUUGCUACAUGAAUUUUCCGGGAAGCAUUUGGAUGACGAGAUUCGAAUUACAUUGAAUAAAAUUGAGCGCGUCGUUGAUAAAUUCCUCAGGGACGCGAAGCUACACCAAGAGAAAAAUCCUUCGGAAUACUGCUUCUGUUAUGAUCGCAAGAUUAAUUUAAAAAAUCUUGCAGAAGAGUUGAAAAGCUUCGCUAACGAGGUGGACCGAAUUCCGGGCAAAUAUCGACAAGAUGAAACCGCAAAGUCUGCUAUGACUGAUUAUUAUACGUGGCAGUUACGUCUGCUUAAAAAAGCUGCCCUGGCGCCGCAGCAUCUUACUUCGGAUGAUAACGAAGUUGGUGUUAUUAAGGAGGAAGCGCAAAAAAUGAUCAUGCCACCCAUUGAAGGACCAGAGGAUCGAGAGAACGAAGUUGUUGGUGUUGUUAAGAAGGAAGCACAAAAAGUGAUCUUGCCACCCAUUGAAGGACCAGAGGAUCAAGAUAACGAAGUUGUUGGUGUUAUUAAGGAGGAAGCACAAAAAGUGAUCAUGCGACUCAUUGAAGGACCAGAGGAUCUAAAUAUUGUUCCCAUUGUGGGUAUGAUUGGACUUGGCAAAACCACACUUGCACGAAAAAUCUAUUAUGAUCCUCAAAUUUCAGGCGAGUUUCCGAACAAGAUUUGGAUCAAUGUCGGCCAGUCAUACGACAAAAAGAAGAUAUUUCUUAAUAUUCUCGGAGGGCUCAUGAAACGAAGCAUCGAAGAAUAUCGAUAUAAGGAAGAUGUUUGGGAGACAGCAGUUGUAAAUUCUGUCAAGGAAGUUUUUCCAGAAAACAAAAAAGGCCACCGAAUCAUGAUGACCACUCGCCUAGAAUACGUGGCUACUAAUGCUAAUGAGGAUCCUCAUUAUCUGGAAUUUCUGACUCCAAAUGAAAGUUUCAAGUUGUUGGAACUGAAAGUUUUUGGCCGGAGCAGAUGUCCUGAUGACUUACUAGUAUUUGGAAAAAGCAUUGCAUCAAAAUGUAGUGGAUUGCCACUUUCGCUAGUGGUAAUUGCAAAAAAAUUAAAACAUCGUAAGGACAGAAGUACUUGGAAACUAAUUGAAAAAGAUGUGUGGCAUCCUCUUUUAAAUGAAGAUGACCCUGAAAGCUGCUUGGAAGCAGUAAAGUUGAGUUACGAUCACCUGUCCCAUGAAAUGAAGGUGUGCUUCUUGUAUUGUGGUGCUUUUCCUCACGGCUUUGAUAUCCCUGCUUGGAAAUUGAUUCGCUUGUGGAUCGCUGAGCGCUUGAUAAGGCCCGAACCGCCAUACACGCUUGAGGAGACAGCAGAGCGUUAUUUGAACAACCUUGUUGGUAGGAACUUGCUGAUGGUGAAGAAGAAGAGUUUUGAUGGCCAAAUAAAAACAUGUCACAUUCACGACUUGUUGCAUGAGUUCUGCAAAGCAGAGGCUAAUAGAAAAAGGAUUCUUCAAGAAGUAUGUCCAACACCCCACAAGGAUAUCCUUACGAGACAAGCAGUGUAUACUUCUCAAGGAUUGUGCAUUCAACCCUCUGUUCUACACGAUUUUCUCUCGGCAAAACCAGUUGCUGAGCCUGUUAGAUCUUUCUACUGUUUUUCCUCUAAACAAACACAAACCAAGUUGUCGUCUGAUGACAUCCAACUCUUCGAGAAAGCAUUUCCAUUAAUCAGGGUCUUGGACAUUGAAUGCCUGAAAUUUCGUUUCAUCAAGGAAUUUUAUCACCUAAUUUAUUUGAGGUAUCUUGCUAUUUCAGGUGACUUCAAUGACCUUCCAGUGGAAGUUGGUAGAUUUUGGAAUUUACAAACUCUUAUAGUUAAUUCGAGUGCAGAAGUAUCCAGUCUUGACAUAAAAGCAGAUAUUUGGAGCAUGUUAAAGUUGAUGCAUCUUCACACCAAUAUCCCUGCAAGAUUGCCGCCCCCUCCUACCCCCAACAGGUAAAAUUUCAAGUGCCCUACAAACUCUUUCUGUGGUUGCACCUGAAAGUUGCACGAAAGAUGUAAUUUCAAUAGCUUGUAAUCUCAAAAAAUUGAGUAUUCGAGGGAACUUGGUGGAAUUUCUUGAAAUUAAGGGGGGUGGCUGGUGCAAUUUUGAAGAGCUAAAAUGCCUAGAACAUUUGAAAUUGUUGAAUGAUGCUCUUUACAUGGAUGAAAAACUUCACCUUCCUCCAUUAUUCAUCACAUUUCUACGAACAUUGAAGAAGUUAAUUUUGUCAAACACAAAGUUUGAUUGGAGUGAGGCAAAUAGUUUGGGGGAGUUAGAAAGCCUUGAGGUCCUAAAAUUGAAAGAAAAUGCUUUCAUAGGGAAGUCCUGGAAGCCAGAGAUAGGAGGUUUUAGUGAACUCCAGGUCUUGUUGAUUAAAACGACAGACUUGGAAACUUGGGAGGCUUCAGAAUUUCAUUUCCCAAGACUUAGGCAGCUUGUUCUUAUAUCUUGUGAUAAGCUUAAGGCUGUGCCAUAUGAGCUGGCUUCUGUACCUAGCCUUCGAGAGAUGAGGCUGGUGAACGCAUGCAGUGCAGCAGUCAGAUCUGCAAAAGAAAUAGAGCGCAAGAAGCUGGAAAGCAUCAAAUUCAAGCUCGCCGUAUUCCCUCCUGAAAUUGAUUCCUAGGCGACACACUAAAAGGAAUAAUCAAGGCAUGACGUUUCUGUAAGCCGGGAUUAUGUACAAAUCGAAUGCUAUUUGACAUGGAUGCUCACCCCAUUUCAUGUUUUCUGCAGUUCAUUCAUCUUUUAUUAUUCAAGCAUUGUGAAGCUGAUAUUGAGUUUCUGUGUGGCUCUGUUGGCUUGAAACACCGUUCUUGUGUCUUACAUUUCGAGAUCCUCAUCAGGCGUAGUGUUUGCUUUCUAAGUCGUAAAAUUGUUCUUUCUGUUCAAUCCUGUUUUACUUCAUUGCUGUUUUCA
This is an RNA transcript of Nicotiana tabacum (common tobacco), 3153 nucleotides long. It is a transcript of the gene named putative late blight resistance protein homolog R1B-17, with no coding region annotated. The record is from RefSeq and is a predicted model, not a curated record. NCBI's taxonomy places the organism in Eukaryota, Viridiplantae, Streptophyta, Magnoliopsida, Solanales, Solanaceae.